GAUAGCCGUCACAGACGCAACACUCGGGGAGAGAUAGCUAGCUAGCGUCUCUACCACAAGCGGCUAAUUCUUGUUGUACACUGGUCCAUUUGUGCUGAACGAUGUUCAAAAGCAUCAAAUCUACGACAACUUCAUGCUUUUGUCUGUAGCUGUGUACAUUUUGGCAAGUCCAAAAUUUUGCAUGAAGAUGAAUGACCUUGCAAAUACUCUGUUGCUUUCAUUUGUUGAACACUUUGGCCAGCUUUAUGGUGAAGAGUUGUUGGUUUACAAUAUCCAUGGCCUGGUGCACCUCAGUGAAGAUGUCAAAAUACAUGGCAAUCUAGAUCUUAUAUCAGGAUUCCCCUUUGAAAAUUUCUUAGGAAAACUAAAAAACUGGUUAGAGGGCCUUGCAAUCCUUUUUUACUCAGGUUAUGCGUAGAUUGUCAGAGAUAGAAAAUAGCAACUACAGUUGUGAUGUUCAAGAGGCAAUUCAAAAAUUGGAUAAAGAACAUACAGAUGGGCCAGUACCAGAGUGCUUCUCACUACAAGCUCGUCAAUUUAAAGUUCUUGCGAUUGAUGAUAUAGUUGUGAAACUCAAUGAGAGAGAUUCUUGUGUCAAAAUCGACAAUCAGUUGGUUUUAGUCCAAAACAUUGUUGAGGAUAAAGGUGCAGUAUACCUUAUGGGCAAUGAAUAUAAGCAAGUGGAACACUUCUUUAAAUAUCCUAUUGAUUCAAAGGAGUUGGGAAUUUAUGUGGUUUCCAACCUCUCCACAAAUGUUCGGUGUUUCAUGACAGGAAAGAAGCUUCAGAAGUAUGUGAGAUUGCCAUUCCGAAACAGAUUUGUUGUUGUUCCACUCCUGCAUCAAGAGAAAUAACUCUUAAGUUGCUUUUGUAUAAUAUUCGGCUGAGGAAUACAAUUCUUUGUCUUUUUAGAUGUUUCACGUUGUUGUCUUUAACAAAACAAAUGAGGUUGAAGUUGUGCCUGCAGUCUGGAUUAAAAAUGGUGAAAAAUAGUGCAUGUGGCCUCCAAAUAAAAGUGAUAUAACAAAAGCUGUAAAAUCUCAAAAGAGUCCUGGAGAUGAUUGGAAGCCAGAAAUAUUUUCCCAUCAUGUGAGUUAUGUUUUGCCACCACUUCCUUUAAAUGAAUUAAUAGUAAUUUAAUUUAAAAUCAUUGUUUUACUUUUUACAUUUCUUCUUUUUGUGAUGCUACUUUUCCAGUUAGCUACAAGGAGGCAAAACGUAAACUACCUCUAGCUGUUGAUCACACAGACAUUGAUCAGACCGAUGGAGGGAACUCACCCAUUACAUUUCAAAGAAAAAGAAAGUAGGGUUUUGCUUUGUGUGUUUUGCACCACAUUUAAAAAUAAAAGUGUAUUUUGAAAUUAAUAAAUGUGUUGUUAGACCCAAGAACAUUCUUUUCCCUGGAGAAGAAGAUGAUAGUGAGAUGGAAGGACACCAGAAAGAACCAAAGUAAAAAAAGGGUAAGAAGCAUCUGCUUUUUAUAAUGAUAAUUUAUUUCACCACAGCAGAUAAAUGACUGACAUUUUGUACUUUUAAGCAGAAGGUAUUCCAUACCUGAUGCUCCAAAAAUCGCUAGACAACACAAAUUAGACCCAGGAAAGCCAAGCUACCCAAAGCUCUGCCACAGUACUCCUGACCUCCCUAAUGAUAUGAAACUCAUUAAAGGAACAAAGUCAAGAAAAAGGUAAGAAGCAUCAGCCUUUUUAAGUUACAGUGCAUUAUAUCACAGCUGUUAAAGGACUAAGAUAUUUUGUAUUUUGUAGGAGGCAUGCCUUACCUAAUGCUCCAGUGUUUACUAGGGAACAGAUUUCUCUUGUAGUAGACAACCUCCAACUUAGUGGCCAAAGCAGUCCUGACCUUCCUUCACAUGGCCAAAGCAGUCCUGACCUUCAUUCACAUGGCCAAAGCAGUCCUGACGUUAGCCCACAUGGCCAAAGCAGUCCUGACGUUAGCCCACAUGGCCAAAGCAGUCCUAAUGUUAGCCCACAUGGCCAAAGCAGUCCUCCCCUUCAUCCACACAGCCAAAUGAGUCACAACCUUCGCCCAAGUUGCUACUACAGUCCUGACUUGUAUGCAGAUUGUCACAGCACUCCUAAAAUCCACUCAAGUCCCCAGACCAGCACUACUAUGUUAUCCUCCGGCUGGCAUGUUCGCUCUGAGAGCUGUACAUCAGGUAAAUCAAGCACUGAGACCCUUUCAAGGCAUGCUGACAUUGAGGUCAGAAAAACAGCCCACAAAAGUAAGGAGAUCCAUAAAAAAAAAGGCACUCUGAAUCUUCAAGGUCACACCCCACCAGGGACAUCCAGCAAACAUCCAGUCACCAAAUGUUUCUUCUUCAUAAUAUAUUAACAAAACAGGAAAUGGUGAUGGACCAAUUGCGAAUUAUCUUUAAGACCCUCCAGUGUAUGCAAUCAAGUCAGGAAACAGAGAUAGGCCUGGAUCGAAAUUUAUUACCACUCAAAGAUCUCAGUACUAUUCAGGACAUGGAGGACAAUCUGCGGAGUACUCCUGACCUCCAUAAGCAAUUGGUAAACACACUGGCUCUUAAAGGUGGGACGGACGUUCGGGAGUGUGUUUGGAGAAUCAUGCAUGGACUUUACAAUAUUUGGCGAGGAAAGUUAACAUGAGAGGAGUGAAUGGAAAGACUGGCUUCCUACGCCUACAGAUACGAGAUGUUGUGAUUGGUAAGUUGCCAUUUAUGCCCAAUAUAUACUGUCAUUCAUACUUUUAAUAAACAUGGGAAGGAAGAAACAAUAAUUAAAAUGGGUAGACAGGUACACAGGAAAAGACAACACAGCAGUUUAUCCAGAGGUCCUAGGUGCAGUUUGUCUUGUAAUAUUGUAUUUUAUCCAAUAUCCACGUUACCUGUUGAUGCAAAAGUUAAUUACACGCUAUGUGUGCUUGUGUUUUUCAGCGGCUGUAAGGCGUAACCGUCUUUUUCAACAGAAAAAUAAAUCGAUUCCACAGUUAAAAGAUGGCUAUAUCUGGCCCCAGACAGAGAUGGUGGCCAAAAAGAGAGAAUGAAGAACAAGGUGUGCGAAGAGAGUCUGACUGGUUAGCAGACUUCAGGAAUGGAUGUUCAAAAACUCUGUCCAGGGCUUGUUCGUUGACAAAAUCAUUAAUGUUUUGGAGUUAUUUGAAGCGUACUGUUACUGACUAUAAAAGUGGAGGCUCAAGUGUUAUGUGAAGUGAAACUUGUUGAUGACUAGAAACACGGUUGUUUAAGUGUUAUAGGUUGAGUAAAUCUUGUUAUUAACCAGGACGUUCAAGUGUUAGGCAAAGUGUGAAACUUGUUAAUGACAAACAUGGAUGUUCAAGCGUUUUAUGUCAGGUUUUAUGUUAAAUAUAAUAAAAUAUUUGUUCAGAAUAUUGUCGUUGUGGUGACUAUUCAUUUGGGGGGGUGUGUAUCAAGUGGCUUGGUUAUGGUUUUGUUAAGGCUAACAUGUGGAACCUAUCUGGUCCAGUGUAUAGGACCACAAUAGGGCCAGUUAUGGUCAUACAGGUGGGUGAGAUAUGGCUCUGUCAUGGCCCUUUUAUGGCCCAUAUUUUGGCUGCCAGGUUUAGUUAACCUAUGGAUUACACUCAGGUGUGGCUAAGUUUUGGGCUUUCUGCUGUUGAUGGUUUACUUAUGGUUGUAUUUUGGUUCCAAUGUCAUAUUUUGACCCGGCCCAAUUUAGGACCAGUUAUGGGUAUUUAACUUGGUUAUGGCACAUGUGUGGCCCUUGUCUGGAAUCCGAACCUGGUCCACACUAGUACCUUAAUUCAUUGCGGUAUGUGGGCCACGCAAAAGCUGGUUUUGUGGGCCAGAGCUGGGCCAAAUAAAAAUUGCUAUGUGGGUCUAUACUUCACCAUCAACAUUCUCAAAUCAAAUAAUGUGUCUGUAGUGCUUUUUCUCGUAAUGAAAGCAUACAUAGCUCACAGAUUGUUAACUCUUCUCUCAGGGUGGCUUCCACUACUCUUUCCCAUAACUUCAUGUUUUGAUUGAUCAACUUUAUUCCUCUGUAGUUACUGCAGUUCUGCACAUCUCCCUUAUUCUUAAAAAUUAGUAGAAGCACAAUUCUUCUCCAUUCGUCAGGCAUUCUCUCAACGUUCAGAAUCUUGUUUAACAAUCUUGUUAAAAACUCCACUGCCAUCUCAUCUAAACAUCUCCACGCUUCUAAUGGUGUGUCAUCUGGGCCAACCGACUUUCUACUCUUCAUCCUCUUAAUAGCUGAUCUCACUUCCUCCUUACUAAGCCUAUCCACUUCCUGAUUUACAAUAUCCACAUCAUCCAGCCUUCUCUCUCUCUCAUUUUCAGCUGCUCAAAAUACUUCCUCCAUCUUCUCAUCACACUUUCCUCAAUAGUCAACACAUUUCUAUCUGCAUCAUUUAUUGCUUUAACUUGCACAUUCUUCCCAGCUUCCCAAUUCCCUCUGCCUAGCCAAUUGGUACAAAUCCUUUUCUCCUUUCUUAGUGUACAACUUCUCAUACAGAUCCUCAUAUGCCUUUUCCUUUGCUUUUGCCACAUUCCUCUUCACCUGCUGCCGCAU
Long non-coding RNA from Silurus meridionalis, 4529 nucleotides. RefSeq lists it as uncharacterized. The record is from RefSeq and is a predicted model, not a curated record. NCBI's taxonomy places the organism in Eukaryota, Metazoa, Chordata, Actinopteri, Siluriformes, Siluridae. The transcript has 3 exons.